UCCCUGGUGGUGCAGUGGCUAAGACUCUGUGCUCCCAAUGCAGAGGCCUGGGUUCCACUCCCGGUCAAGGAA
This 72-nucleotide transfer RNA is filed under the name Bos taurus (domestic cattle). It matches the Rfam family "tRNA". Rfam says of the family: Transfer RNA (tRNA) molecules are approximately 80 nucleotides in length. Their secondary structure includes four short double-helical elements and three loops (D, anti-codon, and T loops). Further hydrogen bonds mediate the characteristic L-shaped molecular structure. tRNAs have two regions of fundamental functional importance: the anti-codon, which is responsible for specific mRNA codon recognition, and the 3' end, to which the tRNAs corresponding amino acid is attached (by aminoacyl-tRNA synthetases). tRNAs cope with the degeneracy of the genetic code in two manners: having more than one tRNA (with a specific anti-codon) for a particular amino acid; and 'wobble' base-pairing, i.e. permitting non-standard base-pairing at the 3rd anti-codon position. Lineage: Eukaryota; Metazoa; Chordata; Mammalia; Artiodactyla; Bovidae. RNAcentral also lists the same sequence under 2 other names. The record is from Rfam by way of RNAcentral.